RNAcentral lists this transfer RNA (72 nucleotides) under Candidatus Omnitrophota bacterium. Its description in RNAcentral is "tRNA-Gln". It matches the Rfam family "tRNA". Rfam says of the family: Transfer RNA (tRNA) molecules are approximately 80 nucleotides in length. Lineage: Bacteria; Pseudomonadati; Candidatus Omnitrophota. The record is from RNAcentral. RNAcentral also lists the same sequence under 1 other name.
UGCCCGGUAGUGUAAUUGGUAACACACGAGAAUUUGGGUCUCGCUUUUCUGGUUCGAGUCCAGACCGGGCAG